Non-coding RNA from Schistosoma rodhaini, 46 nucleotides. Lineage: Eukaryota; Metazoa; Platyhelminthes; Trematoda; Strigeidida; Schistosomatidae. The record is from Rfam.
GCACUGCUAAGGAGUCCCGUAACAGGACGAAACGACCGUCCAGUGC